Molecule: ribosomal RNA, 384 nt
Filed under: uncultured bacterium
Lineage: Bacteria
Description: bacterial SSU rRNA
Rfam family: Bacterial small subunit ribosomal RNA
Source: RNAcentral
GACGAACGCUGGCGGCGUGCCUAACACAUGCAAGUCGAACGGGGUUAAGGAAGCUUGCUUCCUUGACUUAGUGGCGAACGGGUGAGUAACGCGUGAGAAACCUGCCUCUCAGUGGGGGACAACAGUUGGAAACGACUGCUAAUACCGCAUAAUGUAUUCGGAAGGCAUCUUCUGAAUACCAAAGCUUUAUGUGCUGAGAGAUGGUCUCGCGUCUGAUUAGCUAGAUGGCGGGGUAACGGCCCACCAUGGCGACGAUCAGUAGCCGGUCUGAGAGGAUGAACGGCCACAUUGGGACUGAGAUACGGCCCAGACUCCUACGGGAGGCAGCAGUGGGGAAUAUUGGGCAAUGGGGGGAAACCCUGACCCAGCAACGCCGCGUGAAGG